CGACCACGCGAGUGUGAGCGAAUCUCAAAAAUAACGUCUCAGUUCGGAUUGUAGUCUGCAACUCGACUACAUGAAGCUGGAAUCGCUAGUAAUCGCGGAUCAGAAUGCCGCGGUGAAUACGUUCCCGGGUCUUGUACACACCGCCCGUCACACCAUGGGAGUCAGUAACGCCCGAAGCCGGUGACCCAACCUAACAAGGAGGGAGCCGUCGAAGGCGGGACGGAUGACUGGGGUGAAGUCGUAACAAGGUAGC
This 253-nucleotide ribosomal RNA is filed under the name uncultured bacterium. Its description in RNAcentral is "partial 16S ribosomal RNA". It matches the Rfam family "Bacterial small subunit ribosomal RNA", at positions 1250 to 1500 of the family's 1533-position model. The record is from RNAcentral.